This 1420-nucleotide long non-coding RNA is filed under the name Trifolium pratense (red clover). Its description in RNAcentral is "long non-coding RNA (TPRA_LNC005313)". The record is from RNAcentral. Lineage: Eukaryota; Viridiplantae; Streptophyta; Magnoliopsida; Fabales; Fabaceae.
CUGGAAUGCCAUAUCAGUCAUUUUUUAGAUUGAUCUGUCAUGUAUGUCACUUUUUAGUUUAUGAGUAUUUUAUUUGAUUGGUUUUGAUUCUAUUUUUGAGCAGUUUAUCCAAGGUUAAGUUAAUGUUCGAGCCUCAAAAGCUACCAAUAGAAGAAAAAAGAGUUCACAUAUCCCUUGCUUAGCUACAAGUAAUUGGUAACUUAUUGCAAGAGUGAUUGUUUAUACUUCGGUUACCAUGUCAUUCAAAAUAGUUUUACAAUUUUAAUUUCGGCUUUGGCUCAACAAUCAACAUGUAUAUGAUUUUGUUGUUGUGCUUGAUAUUCCACUUGAUUUUAGAAGAGCAAAUGUAAUUGAGUCAUAGUAACUUAUCAAUGAUGUGUUAUUAUGGUUGUGUUCACUUGAAUUUUAAUGGAUUACAUUUAGCCUUUUUUUUUUUGGGGUAUAUGUUGUCUACAAGAAAUUAUGUUUAGUAUGUGUAUCUAAUGCUAUAUUAUGGUUAUAUUUCUUUUAUUAGUUUCUUGGUUCUGUUCUAAGUUAGUUNNNNNNNNNNNNNNNNNNNNNNNNNNNNNNNNNNNNNNNNNNNNNNNNNNNNNNNNNAUUAGUUUACAUGAUUUAUGUUUGAAAUUACAUAGAAUUAUAUCCAUAUAUGUUUGAAAUUGCAUCUUAUUGUAAUUUUUCUGAUACUUUCAGCUUCGAACCCGAAUCUACAGUGAGGGGUGCUAUUACGAAAAUCUUCAAAGAAAAUUUUCAAGGUGCAUGGUCAUGUUGGAGUGCUGUUGAUUCGACCACACGAGAUUUUUGGUUUGAAGACUUUAAGGUCAUUUUAUUAAGUAAUUGAGGUGUGUUGGUUGUGUUUCAUUAUGGGAUCCAAUUGAUAAUCUUGUUUAUUUUUUCAUUGAGGAUUUCUUAUAUAUAUAUAUAUAGGCUAUGCUUGUCAUAUUACAGAUUGUGUUUAUAUGCUAUUAAAUUUAUCGUUGUUUCUAUUGGAGUGUAGAUUUGUAUAUAUGCUAUUAAAAUUGUAUACAGGCUAUGCUUAUCAUAUUACAGAUUGUGUUUGCAACUUUUACACUACUAUUUGUAUUGUUUGUUUGUAGGCCAAAUACAAAUGGCUUGAAAAGGAUGAAGCUAGCAUUGAAAAAGCUUUAAUAGUAGGGGAACAUUGGCCCUGAAAAUUGCUUUGUUCAAGGUUUGUAGUGGUAAAGAUAAAGGUGAAUGGAUUGAUGAAGAUAAGUUAAAAGAAUUAAGGGAUCAAUGGAACGGUGAAACUUGGCAAAUGGAUUGAUGGAUUGAUGGAUGAUGAAGAUGAUGUGUUGGAUGAUGAAGCUUAGCUUUAGUUACUUUCUUUUAUGUAUUUUUGUUAAAUCAAUUAUAUGAAUUUUUGUGUCUUUGACAAUUUUAGGUUUGAUAUUAUAUUUAGNNN